AAAUCAAAGACUAUGUACUAUAAAACCCAAAAGGAUUCACCAACUACUAAACCUAGGCUCUGAUACCACUUGAAGGAAAUUUUAUGAAAAACUUGUGCACUUGAGCAACAUCUAUUGCAUGCAAUUAACAUUUAAAGGCGGAAUCAUGCUUGUAUGCACUCAAAACAAAACAUUACCCAUGAAAUUCAAAGCCUAGUAGAAAGGUGAACCAUGACUCAACUCAAGAACAUAGUGAGUUGAGAUAUUUUAUACCUUUGUUGAUUCCUCUUUGCAUAAGCAAAGG
Molecule: long non-coding RNA, 283 nt
Filed under: Malus domestica (apple)
Lineage: Eukaryota; Viridiplantae; Streptophyta; Magnoliopsida; Rosales; Rosaceae
Description: long non-coding RNA (MDOM_LNC020479)
Source: RNAcentral